This 352-nucleotide ribosomal RNA is filed under the name Triticum aestivum (bread wheat). RNAcentral's name for it is "partial small subunit ribosomal RNA". Lineage: Eukaryota; Viridiplantae; Streptophyta; Magnoliopsida; Poales; Poaceae. The record is from RNAcentral.
CGCUGGUUGGACUGCCGAAAGGCUUGUGAGCCGGGGCUUGCAGCACCACCCGCGUUGUCUGUUUUGUGACCAGGCUGUGGAGUCCAUGACUCACAUACUCACAGUUUUUUCCUUCUCACGGACCUUGUGCCACAAGGUCCUAUCCAUAUCAGAUCAAACCCCCGCUGACGCGAUGCCUGCGAGGACUUCGUUUACUGCUGGCAGCGGACCUGCGCAAGGGCACCUCCUCGGUGAUUAUGCAACGCAGCCUAGCAUCACCAUUUUGCUCGACACGAUCAAGUCCGAGGCUCGAUCGUGGGCGAAGGCGGGGGUGGCAGGCCUGGCCACACUUCUCCCAGCAGUGUCUUCUUAG